CACGCGUCGGCCACUCCACCUCGGGCGCUCUGAAGCCGGCCGCAUGGAGACUGGGGGACGAUGGCCAAGGGACAGUGGAAAAAUGGCAGGGCAGACCCCCUUGGAUUUGCCCACGUGGAGUUUGGAUAUUUACCUGGCUUCUUUGUCAAGUCUUGGGCCUGAUGCAGGUUGCAGACGUAUGGCCACCGGUUCAUGUAGUCAACAGGUCAGGGGGGCUGUUGCCACCGAAGGAAGGGGGAUAGUGCUGACAAGACUGAUGGUAAUGAUGACAUCUAACGUACAUGGAGCAGCUCUAUCUGCCAGACACUAAGCUCACACUGCAAGUGCCUUCUCCCAGAAGACUUGAUACCGGGAUAUCCUGAGAGCCAAAUCAAAAGCUGCUUUCCACCAGGUGCUUAAGGGAGCACUGAAGAAGACCAAAGGAACUGUGACUCCCUAAGCUCAGGGAAUAGUCAAUAAAUCUCUUUGCUGGCCCGCUGGCAUAGGCUUGUAGUCUCAGCGACUUAUGAGUUGAGGCAGAAGGAUAAGUAGUUCAAGGCCAGCCUUGUCAACUUACCAAAACUGUCUCAAAUUUUUGAAAAAGAAAAGCAGAGUAGGGAAUAUCAGGCAAGGAUAGAAUGCUUACCCAGCAUGCACCAGGUCACCGAGUCAAUCCCUAGAACUGAAGAGAAAAGUGAUCUCCUCUUUAAAAGGAACUAUUUUCUGACUAUCCUGGAAAUGGAUGGUUCUAGAAGAGUUUCAUACUCAACCCUGAGACUUGUGGGAAAUCUCAGAUUUGGAGUCUUCGUAGCUAACCACUUCAGGUAUAGUGUCCCCAACUGGGAUGACAGAUAGGAACCUCACAGUGUCCCCAGUCUCAUGUUCCUUUUGCCUUAGGAAAUCCUUGGGGUCUAAAACUGCACCAAGUAUAAGAGAUAACUCCCCUUACCUCCUUGGAGAUGAGGAUUGGUACCAUUAUGUACAGACUUUAGGCAGGGUGCUCAAGUCCUCCCUUACCCAUCUCUUCUUGUCUAACCUAAGGGAUAAAGAGCUUGCUUUCAAAUGUUAUUAACACUGGGACAAUGGGCAAGAGAACACUAAUGUUUCGUGAUGCAUGAAAUAAAAAGAAAUUUACAUUUAA
RNAcentral lists this long non-coding RNA (1120 nucleotides) under Mus musculus (house mouse). Its description in RNAcentral is "cDNA sequence BC006965". The record is from RNAcentral. Lineage: Eukaryota; Metazoa; Chordata; Mammalia; Rodentia; Muridae.